ACUUACAGAAGAGUGGAGCAGAUGGAGUCUGUCUUUGCAAAGCUUUCUCUGACUCUGGAAUCCAUAAUGGUCACCCGGAUGCAAAUUGACCUGUCGUUCUAGGGUAGGGUUAUGCAAGUUCAGGAGAAGUUUGGUGGUUGCAGGCUCACAACUCUUUUACAUUCAAGGUUUAACCUGCUGAUUGGGAAGAAUUUUUAUGAAAAGCUGUGUGCUUCCUGAUAAGAAAAAAGGCUUUCCUGUUUCGAUCAAACCAGAACCAGAUGAGAACUCAGCACAGGCACUGCAGCCACGGAGGUUUCCAGAUAGAAAAAUUGACACCCCUGAGAUCCCAUAACAUUUUGGGGACUCAUCUGGGAUCUGCGGAAGGAGCUUGACUCUUUUCAUUGGCAAUAAAUGGCGCCCCAACAUGGGGACUCAGAGAAGACUCAGGAGCCCCAAGCAGUUGUCCGAAAUCAGAGCUAAGGUACCAGCCAGGGUUAAUUGAAGACUCACCAAGUUCAAGCUUCUCCUUUGGUGGAACUGCUGAGAUUGAAGAACACUUGAAAAUUAUCAAGAAUGUACUGCGGAGUAUUGAAAUUGCAAGUUAUCAUCAAAGGAAGCUGAAUCAUACCUUCCCUGUUUCAAAUAACA
This is a long non-coding RNA of Homo sapiens (human), 630 nucleotides long. The record is from Ensembl. NCBI's taxonomy places the organism in Eukaryota, Metazoa, Chordata, Mammalia, Primates, Hominidae.